UCCGAGCAAACCACUGACUCAUUCCCUUUAUUCUUUUCUUCUAUCACUUAUAACGACUUUCUCUCGUCUUACCAAGUAGCAAUAUAGCCCCCCCCCCACCUCCCCACCCUUGAACAUUGCAACACGUAUAAACGUACAAAAGAUAUAAGCCCGACAAAAUUUUCCCCGCAAAAGAAAAAAUAUAAAACAAAAAUCCACAAUAAUAGUUCAGAGUAAAAUAAUUAUUCCUCAGAGAAUAAUGAAGCUGCGCAUAACUUCCGGUUACACCAGACUUUGCCCAGCCUCCCCUAAUCACCAAGCCCAAAGUCCUGAACCAGUAUAUUUAAAAAUAUCACCAUGGCAACCCCAUUUGAUUCGUGCAUCCAUAAUAUUCUGCAUGGAAGUCCAGCCGCGGCUGUAGCAUUCAAGUGGGUGCUAGACGCCGAUGAUGAGAUCUCCGAUGUCCGUCCGAUGAUGCCAGUAGUAAAGAUCGACGGAUAGAGUCCAGCUGAGUAGAGGUUGCGCAUUAUAGUCGGCCAAGAUAGCGGAAGCGUAUCGUGCCGUGCGGAGUGCGGAAUUACGAGAAGAUCGCGUGCUAAACGAUUCCGCCUCGCCUGAGUACCGCCCGGCAAAACACCACAAAUCGCCGCCAUUAUGUGCCCUCCUAUCACCCUUACUCUCCCUUCUCUCUCUUUCACCCUUUUACCACCCACACCUGUUUCACGAUACUCCUCCACCUCCCCCCCCCCCUCUUUCCUCUUUCUCCCACCUGGUUCAAUUGUUUUACCUUAACCACCUCGGGCCGAUUACCUAACCCUUAUACAUAUAUAUAUAUAUACUUGCACUAUAUAAAAGCCAUAGGGGUAUCGCACUGGUGGAAAUCGAAACGCGUGUAAGACCCAUCCCUUUUGUCCGCAGAACGUAUGUCGGUGCUCAACUAAUGAAAACGAUAUAUCAAUUACGUAUACGACUGGGAGAUUCUUUCCCCUAUCUCUGUCUUUUAUAGUGAGGUUGGGGGGGGGGAGGAGGGACAGCGAGAGAGAUAGAGGAAAAGAUGGAGAGAAAUAAAUAAAAGUCUAGAGGCUUGGAUAGGGGAUGAGAAUCGACAGUGCGCAGGGGGUUGAUUAGCGGACGGUUAUUUCGCCCGGUGGGACAGUCAGGGGAGAAGAUUGCUACUGUGGAGAUAUAUACUGGUGCGAUUGAAGCGACGACGAUUAUUCCGCGUGCGGACAGACCGGAUGUAGCGUCGAAGAUAUAAAUAAUUGACUUGGACACCUGGGAACAGGAGAGGAGAAUGGGUGGGGGUGGGGAGGGGAAUGGAAAAUACUAAAUAAAAUGUUGUCCACUGGCUAUCGGGUCGCAACUACGUCACGUGAAUUUGGAAAAGCGUCGCGACGCGGGCUCGAUUGUAUCGAAAACCCAUUGGCAGGGUUAAACGAUGGUAAUGCUACGUAUAUAACCUAUAAACAGUAGCCGGAUACAUAUUCCCACAUGCAGUAAUACCUCGUUUAACGAUUCCCAUGAAAACGAAAUUCCCUUAAAACGAAUUUCAAGAAAAAUUGCUAAUUUUAACGUUUCCUGCACGAAAAACAAAUCCCUAUUUAUCCUAUGUUAUUUUUAGCUCCGAUAACGAAGUUUGCCAUAGCGAAGUAAUUUUGUCAAAUGCAUCUAUUUCGUUCAUCGAGAUGUCACUGUGUAUGGGUAUCGGUACGACGACGCGGGCAAAUUCAAAUAUAGCAAUUUUUGUAUAUUCCAUUGUUCAGCAAUUUUAAUUUUCCCUUGAAAAAAGAUGUUGAAAAGUGAAAAAAAAAGGGGGUGCAACUUUAAGGGGGAUGAAAGUUGUAAGUUCUAUUUGUAUAUGCAGAAGGUAUAACUAUAUGUAGGUACAAGCCAUUGGGCGUUCACGUACACGGAUAAUCAGAUACUCUACUCCUUUUAUUUGUCUAUCCUUUCUUCAUCGUCUCUCUUUGCAUUCCAGGAUGUAUUGCUACAGCGAAUUCAGUUCACUGAGGUGCAGGAUUCACGGGGUGGGGUGGCAGGGAAAAGAUAGGCGGAACAGGAAGAACCUGCAACGCUCACUUCGUACAUGUUACACGAGAAGUCCAAAAGGAAAUAAAGAAGCAUCUAACUGAAAUCAGGAAUGUGAAGUGGAUGGUAGUUUAAAACGAUUCUUGACUCUUUUCCCAUCUUUUCUUUUAUCCUGGCAAUAGUCGCAUUCCACUCGUUUUCACGAGCUAAACUGUAUAGCCAGUAUAUAUCUUGUAUAUAUAUGCAGAUAUAUAAAUAGUAUACAUAUAUUUAUAUACUAUCCUUAUCUGUAGGUAUUAUGUGUUGGUUUUAGUAGAAGGAUGCAUCAGGUACUAGAUGCAACUUUUUCCUACAUGUAUCCCAUAUAAGAAUAUAUAUAUAUAUAUAUGGUCUAGAACGACGUAGUACAGCAUCCAGAUGUACGGCUGGAUAAUGCUGGAUAGUCAGAGGUUGUUCCGC
Cephus cinctus (wheat stem sawfly) is the source of this 2466-nucleotide long non-coding RNA. RefSeq lists it as uncharacterized. The transcript has 3 exons. The record is from RefSeq and is a predicted model, not a curated record. Lineage: Eukaryota; Metazoa; Arthropoda; Insecta; Hymenoptera; Cephidae.